This 397-nucleotide ribosomal RNA is filed under the name Ceratitis n. sp. OR. RNAcentral's name for it is "partial 12S ribosomal RNA". Lineage: Eukaryota; Metazoa; Arthropoda; Insecta; Diptera; Tephritidae. The record is from RNAcentral.
CUUAUUUUAAUAACAAGAGUGACGGGCGAUGUGUACAUAUUUUAGAGCUAAAAUCAAAAUUAUAAUCUUUUAAUUUUUACUAUCAAAUCCACCUUCAUUUAAAUAUUUAAUUUUAAAAUCCGUUUAAAUAAAUUUAUUGUAACCCAUCUUUUCUUAAAUAUAAGCUACACCUUGAUCUGAUAUAAAUUCUAAAUUAAAUUAUUGAAAAUUAUUAUUCUAAUAAAAUAUUCUGAUAACGACGGUAUAUAAACUGAAAAACAAACUUAAGUAAGGUUCAUCGUGGAUUAUCAAUUACAAGACAAGUUCCUCUGAAUAGACUAAAAUACCGCCAAAUUUUUUAAGUUUCAAGAACAUAACUAAUACUACCUAAGUGUUUAUAAUUACAUUUUAAAUAAUA